RNAcentral lists this ribosomal RNA (484 nucleotides) under uncultured bacterium. RNAcentral's name for it is "bacterial SSU rRNA". It matches the Rfam family "Bacterial small subunit ribosomal RNA", at positions 36 to 518 of the family's 1533-position model. The record is from RNAcentral.
CUGGCGGCGUGCCUAAUACAUGCAAGUCGAGCGAGAAUCAGCAGAUCGGAGAUUCGUCAAAGUGAAACUGAGGAAAGCGGCGGACGGGUGAGUAACGCGUAGGCAACCUGCCCUUAGCAGAGGGAUAGCCAUUGGAAACGAUGAUUAAAACCUCAUAAUGCUGUUUUUACACAUGUAGAGACAGCCAAAGAUUUAUCGGCUAAGGAUGGGCCUGCGUCUGAUUAACUAGUUGGUGAGGUAACGGCCCACCAAGGUGACGAUCAGUAGCCGACCUGAGAGGGUGAUCGGCCACAUUGGAACUGAGACACGGUCCAAACUUCUACGGAAGGCAGCAGUAAGGAAUCUUGCACAAUGGGGGAAACCCUGAAUGCAGCAACGCCGCGUGAACGAUGAAGGCCUUAGGGUUGUAAAGUUCUGAUCUGUGGGAAGAAGAAGCGACGGUACCACAGGAGAAGGCCCCGGCUAAAUACGUGCCAGCCGCGGC